Molecule: long non-coding RNA, 815 nt
Organism: Perca fluviatilis (European perch)
Lineage: Eukaryota; Metazoa; Chordata; Actinopteri; Perciformes; Percidae
Exons: 2
Source: RefSeq, a predicted model, not a curated record
CGAGCGGCUCCAAAUUUUCUCUAUCUCAAGAUGCCAGACUGAUCUGCAAGUGGAAAACUGGAGCUCGCUAGAUCAGGGCGGUCUCACGAGGCUACCACUCUGAGGCUCUGGACCACAUUUGGCGUAGAUUGGCCGUUAGAGGGCGCUACAAUUAUGAAAAAAUGUAUAUCUCAUGAAGUGCUCAUGUGAUUUUUAUGAAACUUGGAGUGUACAAUGGAUGUAGCCCAAGAUAGCACUUUAAAUUAUGGACUGUAUAAGUGUCUAUCAUCCGUUCUGUUGUUGGGAUUUGUGCGAUGCUUUUGAAAUGUCUGUAAAUCCUUGCCAAUAUAUGAACCCAUGCCUCUAACAAUACAGCUAACAUUAGCCUUAGCUAACAUGGCUAUUGUUUAGCCUGGCCUGCCAGUCUGAUUAAUUCAUAACGGUUAGGCCUGCUCCUAGGUAGCUUCUCUGUCUCUCCUCUCUCCCUCCCCUCUGUCUGUCCUAAUUGCAGGAGUGGAGUCUGGUGUGCGGGAGUCAGGGUUCCAGCUGCCUCUCAUCUACCACAAUCAACCUCUGCUUCAUCUACCCGGUCAUUCCUCCACUCUGCGUCAGAUCAUAGUCAAGACGACCACACUGCUUUGGAACCUGAUUCCUCCUACCGCUCCACUCGUGCCAUACACCGAACCAGAACCACCACCAGUGGACCCCACCACUAGCCGGCCUGCUGUCUCUCUCUGACCGACCCGCUCCUUCCCGGAAUUCACCUGACCCGUUCUCCGCCCCGGAAACCUGGAAUUGACACUUGAGUACUUUGAAUAAAACCUGUUAACUCAUAC